UCCUACGGGAGGCAGCAGUGAGGAAUCUUGCACAAUGGGCGAAAGCCUGAUGUAGCGACGCCGCGUGGAGGAUGAAUGCCGUAAGGUUGUAAACUCCUUUUGAGAGGGACGAAAACCCAUAUUUCGUAAGGGAUAUGGUUUGACUGUACCUCUAGAAGAAGCCCCGGCUAACUACGUGCCAGCAGCCGCGGUAAUACGUAGGGGGCAAGCGUUGUCCGGAUUUACUGGGUGUAAAGGGUGUGCAGACGGCUUACUAAGUCACUUGUUAAAUUCCUCGGCCUAACUGAGGAUCUGCAGGUGAUACUGGAAAGCUAGAGGGUGGAAGAGAGAAGUGGAAUUCUCGGAGUAGCGGUAAAAUGCGUAGAUCUCGAGAGGAACACCAAUGGCGAAGGCAGCUUCUUGGUCCAUUCCUGACGUUCAUACACGAAAGCGUGGGGAGCAAACAGGAUUAGAUACCCCAGUAGUCCAAGCCG
This 473-nucleotide ribosomal RNA is filed under the name uncultured bacterium. RNAcentral describes it as "bacterial SSU rRNA". It matches the Rfam family "Bacterial small subunit ribosomal RNA", at positions 337 to 802 of the family's 1533-position model. The record is from RNAcentral.